Long non-coding RNA from Marmota monax (woodchuck), 3557 nucleotides. RefSeq lists it as uncharacterized. The record is from RefSeq and is a predicted model, not a curated record. Lineage: Eukaryota; Metazoa; Chordata; Mammalia; Rodentia; Sciuridae. The transcript has 4 exons.
GAAGCCGGAGUGAGAGCCGAGCGGGCCGCGUCACCGCGAACGUCAGUACCCAGCCCUUACCCUCGCCCCCCGCUCCCCACCCAGGGUCUUAAAGACAGCAGUUUGCCCUAAGGGGUCGCUCAUCACUCCCUAAGCGGGCUCCUAACACGACCGUGGAGGUCGACCCUGGAAGCUCGUGAGUUGUGGCUUUGGAAUCGCAAAGAAAACGGAGUGGCAGCGCGCGAGUGAUUUUUUUUUUUUCAGGCCUUUGCUCCUCCUACAGACGUCCUAGGCGUGUUGCGUGGGAGAGAGACGUAUUGUCCUUUUUCUUUUUUUUUAAACUGUGGGAAAAUGUGCUAGCAGACAUGAUUCGGGAUGGGGCCUCCCUACAUUGCCCAGACUGGCCUAGAACUCCAAGGCACAAGCAAUCCUACCACCUUAGGCUCCUGAGUGACUGAGACUACAGGACCAGAACCGCGGCACAGCCUCUGAAAUCAAACUGCUUAGAUUCAAAUCCAGGCUCUACCACAUACUAUCUGAACUCUUUCCAUCAAGUUAUUUCACUCCUCUGGGUCUCAGUUUCCUCAUCUAUAAUAGUCAUAUACCUCAGAAGAUGAUCAUGAAGAAUAAAAGAAUUAACAUUUGCAAAGGCUUAAAACAGGAAGCGACCCCCCUCAGUCUGACAAGGAGUAAAACUGCCAUGGAUAGAUGCUGAAAGUAAACAACAAGAUGGGAGGGGCAUCAGUGAGGUGGCUCUGGUUCCCAUGUCACCAUGUCUUGUGGAGAGAUGCAGCAGACCCCCAUGGAGACCACAUGCACAGGAGUUGCACCACAGCUAAGGAGCCAAGGCCAAGGGCUGCAUAUCUUCAUUCGCAUCUGAGCGAAACAAGGCUGUUUUGGUACACACUGGGAAGGAGCAGGGUGUGAUGCAUGGCAGACAGUUCUGCGUUGUGAGGGUGUCAGGAGUGGCUGAAUAGUCCUGCUGGUGUGAGGGUAUUCAGAAUGAGGAUGGGGAUGCAGCAGGGUCUUCUUACCAACUGCAGCUGCUGCCUGACUCAAGGGACAGGGUGUCUUAUGCUGCUGCAGGGCUGGAUCUAGGGGGAAAAGAAAGCAUUAAAUACUCCCCUUCUCCAACUCCCACACCUCUUAGGGACUAAAGUAGUCCUUCCUUCCUCAGAUGCCCAGGUUCUUGUUCUUUCCAUAGCCACAUAGUCCAUUUGUUUUACGUCACUGGCCACUAUUUCUCCUCCCUUCACAAGGGCCUCUGCCACCUGCACCCACAUGGGUGAUGACUAACUGAGCACUGUGUUAGAACUUGAACAACCCAGGAGGCAGGGUUUCCUUUUCUUUCCUUUUUUUUUUUUUUUUUUUUUUAUGGUACUGGGGAUUGAACUCAGGGGCACUCAACCACUGAGCCACAUCCCCAGCCCUAUUUUGUAUUUUAUUUAGAGACAGGGUCUCACUGAGUUGCUUAGGGCCUCGCUAAGUUGUUGAGGCUGGCUUUGAAUUUAUGAUCCUCCUGCCUCAGCCUCCCCAGCCACUGGGAUAACUGGCGUGCACCACUGCUCAGGAUGUCCUCUUAAUACUGCCCAAGCAGGACAUUGUAGGUGUAUACUAGGGCUCAUGAAUUUCACCACCUAAUAAUUCUCCUGUGGUCAGCAGCCUUCCACACCCAGAAACUGAAACCAAGUGGUAGCAGAAGCAAAAAACUGCAGUCAUCUUCCUAUGUUGCCUAAUUGCCACCUUAGGAUGAAGUCAGUCAGGCUUUCUAGGCACCAGGAGCAGCAGGAAAAAAAAAUCAGAAAUAACUGGAAAUAGUUACGGUGAGAUUGCAGACAUGGAGUGCCAGUCUCCCGCUCCUCCUCCCUCCAUCUGACCUUCCCUAAGCGGUGGGAAAUUUUAAUAAUUGAUCAGAAAAAGUAUUCCAUCAUGUGCAUAUUCUAGCACUGUCUACUACAGAUAGUCUCAGAUGUUUAUGAGAAAGAAAAAAUUUAAUAACUGUUUCAGUUUUAAUACAGAUAAGCUUAAGUAAUAGCCUUUGUUACUAUCCUUACAAGAUAAGAAGAAUGUCUUCUGAUUUUAAUCUAUAAAAUUAAUGCAAGCCCGUGUUCUAGUUGAGAUAUAACUAAAGUCAGACUUCUCAAGAUUUAAACUUCCUAAAUAUCCUAUAUUAGAUUUGUGGAUCAAAUAAGUUAUCAUUGUUUCCACUGAAUAUUGAAGAUCACAAACAUAAAAUGGUUUUUUACUAAAUGAAAUUUUAGUUACAGAUGUCAUUUCAAAGGAUUGGCGCUUAUAAAUUUCUUGUAAGUUUACAGAUCAUAAGGGUUUAAUGUGUUAGCUAAAACUGUAAUUUCCAGAUCUUUAGUUAACCUUUGCUAAGAUUUUAAAUAUUAGGCUGAAUUCAUUGACAAUCUUUGGAUAUUUGGAUAGUUUCUAAGUAAAAGAAUAUAUAAAGCUUUUGGUCACUAAACAUAGCUUCAAUUUACCCUUAUUUGCAUGUAUUAUAAAAUGGUACACAUUUACUGGUAUACAUUAAAAUGUUCCAGUGCUUUGGAUGAUGUCAUAUGCUCAUUUUGCCACCUUAAAAUUUAUAUAGAUAAUCUGAAAAUUGUGCUCAGAGAAAAUCAGCUAGAUGGUUCCUGGUUUUCUCUUGGUUUAGAGAAAACAGAAGUUAAUUAUUUAGAUUAAAAGAGAUAAAAAUAAUCAAGACUAUAUAUGAUAUUGUAAUUACAUAAAAUAUAAAUAUGUCUGGAAGAAAACAGAUAUGAUUUGUUACCUAAGGAUACUAUUUGUUAAAAUGCGUGUUUCAAUGUAACAUCAACAUUGUUUUGUUUAAUAUGCUAAGACUGAUUAUAUUUUUAAAUUAAAGUUAAAGCCUUUUAUUAUUUCUUUACAUAGCUAAGUAUUUCUGUCCAAGCACAUUAAAAUAAAAGAAUAUUAAGAAGUUGGGCUGGGGUCGUGGCUCAGUGGUAGAGCGCUCACCUUGCAUGUGUGAGGCCCUGGGUUUGAUCCUCAGCACCACAUAAAAGUAAAAUAGAAUAUUAAGAAGUGGUGUCACCAAAAAUUGCAGAGUAGGGUUCUCCCUCUACAAAAGCAACUGUCACGGUGAACUUUUGCAGAACUUCAGAAUCUACUCAAACCAACCAGGUGAAGACCAAAGCAUUGAGGUAAGACAGCACCUGCCCGAAAUCUCCCAUGCCGGUGGCAGCCAUGGGGACAACAGUCCACACUCCUGUUGCAGGGUGCUAAUUUCAGAAGGGACAACAUGAGCCAUCCUCUCAACCCAUCUGUGGUGAUGGGCUUAUACUUGUCCAUUGGUUCCUCAAAGGACAGCACAAGGCCUACCCGUGUUUCACUCAACACAGUGUUCCCAGGCCCACGGUAGCUUCCUGAACAGCUUUUGAAAGAGCAUUUAAAGGCACAAAUAUUGACUGUAGCAAUCUGGGAUAGGGAACAACAAUCAAAACAAAAAAAAUAGACCAAAAGACCUAGGUAGGAAAAGAUUGGGAAAGGGGAUAUAUAGGGGAAUAAGAACUUUUAAAGUUCCCAACUGUACCUGGUAGGAGGUAUAGCUUUCU